CCUACGGGUGGCAGCAGUGAGGAAUAUUGGUCAAUGGGCGCGAGCCUGAACCAGCCAAGUCGCGUGAGGGAGGACGGCCCUACGGGUUGUAAACCUCUUUUGCCGGGGAGCAACGGGCGUCACGUGUGGCGCCACUGAGAGUACCCGGAGAAAAAGCAUCGGCUAACUCCGUGCCAGCAGCCGCGGUAAUACGGAGGAUGCGAGCGUUAUCCGGAUUUAUUGGGUUUAAAGGGUGCGUAGGCGGAUCGUUAAGUCAGUGGUCAAAUUGAGGGGCUCAACCCCUUCCCGCCAUUGAAACUGGCGCUCUUGAGUGGAAGAGAAGUAUGCGGAAUGCGUGGUGUAGCGGUGAAAUGCAUAGAUAUCAUGAAGAACUCCGAUCGCGAAGGCAAGUGUCCGGGGUGCAACUGACGCUGAGGCUCGAAAGUGCGGGUAUCAAACAGGAUUAGAUACCCCUGUAGUC
RNAcentral lists this ribosomal RNA (460 nucleotides) under uncultured bacterium. Its description in RNAcentral is "partial 16S ribosomal RNA". It matches the Rfam family "Bacterial small subunit ribosomal RNA", at positions 338 to 795 of the family's 1533-position model. The record is from RNAcentral.